Molecule: ribosomal RNA, 230 nt
Filed under: uncultured bacterium
Lineage: Bacteria
Description: partial 16S ribosomal RNA
Rfam family: Bacterial small subunit ribosomal RNA
Source: RNAcentral
UACGUAGGGGGCAAGCGUUUGUCCGGAUUUAUUGGGCGUAAAGAGCGUGUAGGCGGCCUGAAAGGUCAGCUGUGAAAACUCGAGGCUCAACCUCGAGACGUCGGUUGAAACCAUCUGGCUAGAGUCCGGAAGAGGAGUGUGGAAUUCCCGGUGUAGCGGUGAAAUGCGCAGAUAUCGGGAAAAACACCCGUGGCGAAGGCGGCACUCUGGGACGGUACUGACGCGUGAGA